CGUCUCUUCAUUUCAUGUUAUACACUCUCAGAGAACAAGCCGUCAUAAACAUUAAGUCCGAAAACCAAGAAUUGUUUAAUCUCUUGGUAAUUUCUUUCUAAUGGAUGUGUUGUGAAUUUUUUUUUCUCUGUUGUGAAUCUGUGUUUAUAAAAACAUGUUAUCAAAACGUAUAAAAAAGUGGCCAGUUGUAUAGAGCUCGCGACCGAGUAGAACGAGUAAGACGCAUUAAUGGUGACCAAUACAAUCAACUACUGCAUACAACUACAGCUAGACCAUCUGAAGAUAAAGUUCAUAGAGUGUCGGUGCGUGUUGCUGAUCGAUCUGUUUACGACAACACCCUUACAUAUGAUAAUGUGUCCGACGCUAUUUGUGAAAGUACUGGAAGAAAACAUGACAGCAAUAUUUCAGAAUCUAAUACUUCUUCGAACAACAAUGAUGAUAUGUUCAGUGAUGUAGAAAGCAUGUCUGAUGAUGAAACAGGAUUGGAUACACAUUCUGAUGACGAUGCAAUGUUGGAUGAGCCUGAUUUUGAUAAAAUGGACACGAGUGAUUGUUUGAAAUAUUGGGCAUUGAGCACCAAACAAACCCAUUAUUCAAUGAAUAUGCUGUUAAAAAUAUUGAGGAAAAAAAUGAACAUGUGUCUACCAAAGGAUGCUAGAACUUUCCUGAAAACAAAUAGAAAUGGACCAGAAAUAUCAAAAAUUGGAGAUGGUCUGUUUUGGUAUCGCGGUGUUAAAGAGGGCCUCACCAAGCAUUUGCGUUUUGUUAAGGUGCCAAGCACUCUUUCGCUGAACAUCUGUCGCUCACGCGACGUGAGUACCAGUGAGCGUAUGCGUAGGCGGUGAGCGUAUGCGUAGGCGCCUACGGUGAGCGUAGGCGGAGCUUAGUAGUACCACUACUACUAAGCCGACAAAACUGUUUCCUUGCGGAACACAUGCAUCAGAGCUGCGCGGCAACAAGCGCAAGUUGGCAAACUUGCGCACAGGAACCCUGGUUCGAUUCCGCGUAGCGAUUACUAUUUUCUUCUUACGUUCCAGAACAGGAUUACACUAAAAUACGGAAAAAACGUUUUACUAAAUAUAAUUAUAUUUUCGCGGAAAAUGCUCUAGGCAAUCGCUAGAGCAGCAUGUUGCUUGUAAACGACUCCAGUGGAAGAAAAAUAAAAUAAGUAGUAGC
This is a long non-coding RNA of Anopheles merus, 1176 nucleotides long. RefSeq lists it as uncharacterized. The record is from RefSeq and is a predicted model, not a curated record. The transcript has 3 exons. Lineage: Eukaryota; Metazoa; Arthropoda; Insecta; Diptera; Culicidae.